AUUGAUUUUAUGCUUGCAUAAACGAUUUUUGGAUUCGGAGCGAGUGGCGAACUGGUGAGUAACACGUGGGUAACCUGCCCCGAAGCGGGGGAUAACAUUUGGAAACAAGUGCUAAUACCGCAUAAUUAGUUGGAACCGCAUGGUUCCAACUUGAAAGAUGGCUCUGCUAUCACUUUGGGAUGGACCCGCGCCGUAUUAGUUAGUUGGUGAGAUAAAAGCCCACCAAGACGAUGAUACGUAGCCGACCUGAGAGGGUAAUCGGCCACAUUGGGACUGAGACACGGCCCAGACUCCUACGGGAGGCAGCAGUAGGGAAUCUUCCACAAUGGACGAAAGUCUGAUGGAGCAACGCCGCGUGAGUGAUGAAGGUUUUCGGAUCGUAAAACUCUGUUGUUAAAGAAGAACAAGUGUUAGAGUAACUGUUAACACUUUGACGGUAUUUAACCAGAAAGCCACGGCUAACUACGUGCCAGCAGCCGCGGUAAUACGUAGGUGGCAAGCGUUGUCCGGAUUUAUUGGGCGUAAAGCGAGCGCAGGCGGUUUUGUAAGUCUGCUGUGAAAGCCCUCAGCUCAACUGAGGAAGUGCAGUGGAAACUACAAAACUUGAGUACAGAAGAGGAAAGUGGAACUCCAUGUGUAGCGGUGAAAUGCGUAGAUAUAUGGAAGAACACCAGUGGCGAAGGCGGCUUUCUGGUCUGUUACUGACGCUGAGGCUCGAAAGCAUGGGUAGCGAACAGGAUUAGAUACCCUGGUAGUCCAUGCCGUAAACGAUGAAUACUAGGUGUUGGAGGGUUUCCGCCCUUCAGUGCCGCAGCUAACGCAUUAAGUAUUCCGCCUGGGGAGUACGACCGCAAGGUUGAAACUCAAAGGAAUUGACGGGGGCCCGCACAAGUGGUGGAGCAUGUGGUUUAAUUCGAUGCUACGUGAAGAACCUUACCAGCUCUUGACAUCUUCUGCCAACCCAAGAGAUUGGGCGUUCCCUUCGGGGACAGAAUGACAGGUGGUGCAUGGUUGUCGUCAGCUCGUGUCGUGAGAUGUUGGGUUAAGUCCCGCAACGAGCGCAACCCUUAUUAUUAGUUGCCAGCAUUUAGUUGGGCACUCUAGUGAGACUGCCGGUGAUAAA
Molecule: ribosomal RNA, 1123 nt
Filed under: uncultured bacterium
Lineage: Bacteria
Description: bacterial SSU rRNA
Rfam family: Bacterial small subunit ribosomal RNA
Source: RNAcentral